CUUCAGUCAGUCGCAUUGACAGAGUUUGAAGAAAGUGCGCUGCGUGUGUGACUGCGAACUGGGUGCUGCGAUGUGUGAGUGAAUGCGUUCUUGUUGACUUUGUCACGGAAUUGGAAAACAUAGAGAUUCCUCAAUUCCGUGCAUCCUUUCAACCGACCAACCACCAACAAACAAACAACUGCUACCACACCACCACCGUCAUCGGAACCAAUAGAUUGAUCGUCUCUCCUGUUCCUGGGGGUGAAUGCGGAAGGAUGAAUGCGUAACCAAGGACGACGGCAGGCAAAUCAACAAUCUCGACUGGUGUGAGAAUGUGUUUGUGAGGGACCAGUAAGCAAACAAGCGAGAGCGAGAGAACGUGCGUGCGUGCAAGGAUAUCGUGUGAAUGAGUAUUUUAAGUGCAUUUUGUAAAGAAAAACUCCUGCAAUUUGAAAAUCCUGUCCGCAAAAUCGUCU
Long non-coding RNA from Anopheles maculipalpis, 455 nucleotides. RefSeq lists it as uncharacterized. The record is from RefSeq and is a predicted model, not a curated record. The transcript has 3 exons. NCBI's taxonomy places the organism in Eukaryota, Metazoa, Arthropoda, Insecta, Diptera, Culicidae.